GACGAACGCUGGCGGCGCGCCUAACACAUGCAAGUCGAACGGACUUAACUCAUUCUUUUAGAUUGAGAGCGGUUAGUGGCGGACUGGUGAGUAACACGUAAGCAACCUGCCUAUUAGAGGGGAAUAACAGUGAGAAAUCAUUGCUAAUACCGCAUAUGCUAACAGUAUCGCAUGAUACAGUUAGGAAAGGAGCAAUCCGCUAAUAGAUGGGCUUGCGUCUGAUUAGCUAGUUGGUGGGGUAACGGCCUACCAAGGCGACGAUCAGUAGCCGGACUGAGAGGUUGAACGGCCACAUUGGGACUGAGAUACGGCCCAG
RNAcentral lists this ribosomal RNA (316 nucleotides) under uncultured bacterium. RNAcentral's name for it is "bacterial SSU rRNA". It matches the Rfam family "Bacterial small subunit ribosomal RNA", at positions 28 to 334 of the family's 1533-position model. The record is from RNAcentral.